CUGUUAUCUCCAUGGCAACAUCAUUUCCUUAGAGACUUCAGACGACUACAGCAAUGGCAACGGAGUGCCACCGGAGCUGAAGAAGGCAAAUGAAGAAGUAAAUACAUGACUAACAGGUGGUGAGAAGGGGACAGUCAUUUUGGAACUAAAGAUGGAAGACACACACUGAAGAUGGAAAAGCCAUCCUGCCUCUGGACUGCUGCCUCUGGACUGCUGUGAA
Molecule: long non-coding RNA, 220 nt
Organism: Talpa occidentalis (Iberian mole)
Lineage: Eukaryota; Metazoa; Chordata; Mammalia; Eulipotyphla; Talpidae
Exons: 3
Source: RefSeq, a predicted model, not a curated record